GGCCCAGUAGCUCAGGGGAUAGAGCACCGCUCUCCUAAAGCGGGUGUCGCGCGUUCGAUUCGCGCCUGGGCCACCA
RNAcentral lists this transfer RNA (76 nucleotides) under Actinoplanes sp. NBRC 103695. RNAcentral describes it as "tRNA-Arg". It matches the Rfam family "tRNA". Rfam says of the family: Transfer RNA (tRNA) molecules are approximately 80 nucleotides in length. Their secondary structure includes four short double-helical elements and three loops (D, anti-codon, and T loops). The record is from RNAcentral. Lineage: Bacteria; Bacillati; Actinomycetota; Actinomycetes; Micromonosporales; Micromonosporaceae. RNAcentral also lists the same sequence under 4 other names.